Molecule: transfer RNA, 40 nt
Filed under: Desfontainia spinosa
Lineage: Eukaryota; Viridiplantae; Streptophyta; Magnoliopsida; Bruniales; Columelliaceae
Also listed under: 1 other name
Description: partial transfer RNA-Phe
Source: RNAcentral
GCCGGGAUAGCUCAGCCGGUAGAGCAGAGGACUGAAAAUC